This 1474-nucleotide long non-coding RNA is filed under the name Musa acuminata (dwarf banana). RNAcentral describes it as "long non-coding RNA (MACU_LNC005076)". Lineage: Eukaryota; Viridiplantae; Streptophyta; Magnoliopsida; Zingiberales; Musaceae. The record is from RNAcentral.
GCCAUUAAACCCACUCGGACAUCAGACAUUAGUUUACGCACCUAUAUAUCUUGUUUUGGAGAAAACUAAUACAUCAGUCAACAAGAAACAAAUACCUAAGUGAAAGAUUGCCUGUAAAGUAAUCUCGUGAAGAGGUAAUAUGGACCAUUAGAAGGAGCAAUAGGCUGGAUCUAAGGUAAUAUGGACCAUUAGAAAGAGCAAUAGGCUGGAUCUCAUAAUAAGGACGAUAAUCAAAUAGCGGACACAACAAAGUCAAAAAGCCUAGAAUAAGCGGUAAGUAUCUAAAAGGGCUUGGAGAAGACAACUCGCACCUCAACCAAUAAAAUGGGGAAUCGUUAUUCACCCGAUGAAUAAACUGCUUAAGAAAGAACUCACGAUACAUGAUAGGAGCUCUAACCCUACCUAAUAAGAAUAAGGGGUUGUUUCAAUCCGCAUUCAAAAGGAGUCAUUUCGAAAAGCACUGUUAUUACACAAUGGAUUCAUUUCUCCUACUUUAUGCCGGAGUUAAGACAGCCUCCUUCCUAUUGGACAAUAGAUGAUGAUUGAACUCGCCCCCCGUAAAGUAUACCAGAGCACCAACUAUUCUGAAUUUCCAAUCCAAAGGAAGUGCUAGGAAUAAGGUCCCAGAUCCACAUAAUACGGUGGGUGCGAAUAAGAAAGAAGUGGGUGUGUGAAGAAAGUGGAUAAGAAGAAGAAAUUCCAGAAGUCAUGUUACCUGGAUGAGCUAAGGUAGCUCUAAGAAGUGGACAUCCGCUGUGUCUGCUGGAUUAAGGCAGAAUACUAUUCCCGUGAAAGAGGAUUCAUUGGCAGAAACACUUUCAGAAGCCCUAGAAAUAACGGAAUCGCUUGUUCAUUAAUGCCCUUAGAAGGAAUCAUUUAAUGCCCUGUUAGAAGGAAUCAUUGGAAAAAAGGAGGAGACGCAGAUCCGCCGGGGUUCUUUCCAUAUAUAUAUAUAAAUAGUAAACCAAAGGGAAUGAGUUCACCAAAUAGACCGUUCGUAUAGACAUUUACUCGGCUUGGAUCGAUAACAAAAACAUAGAAAGCCUUAGUAAGGAACUGAUAUUGUGUUUUCAAAAGCACUAAAACUAGAUGCACUCAUUUAUUAUGUGCUUUAUAGGCUUUCUUCGGAGCCCAGAAUUGAUGCUUAUUAGAGAAAUUACCACCCUACGUAAUAAGUUCCAUGUGUAUGUGCACACUUAAAGCUCGCCCCUUUAAAGGGUUUAGGAGGAAUAUAAGUCAUUGCUUAUGUAUCCUUUAUUUGGAGACCUAAUGUCUGAGAUCAACGAGAACCACCUAUGAUUCUUUAUCAACCCAUCAGAUGCUAAUAAUGAAAAACUAAUGCUUUAGAAGCUGUCCUAUUAGCUAUUCUAGCCACCUAUUGUAUAUUUCAUACUUGGGAAAUGCUGUCCAAUCUGGGUCUUGAGUUCGGUAGUUCAGCCCUUUAAAAGCCACAGAGCUAUAGGUAGAAAANNNN